Molecule: long non-coding RNA, 341 nt
Filed under: Gossypium barbadense (sea-island cotton)
Lineage: Eukaryota; Viridiplantae; Streptophyta; Magnoliopsida; Malvales; Malvaceae
Description: long non-coding RNA (GBAR_LNC016070)
Source: RNAcentral
GCCUUUUAAAAAUCAUAGGCAUGCACUGGGAACCAACCUUUUAAAAGAUAUAUUUCGCAAAAGCAUAGGCUGGUCAGUUUAAUCCUAAUUCGAAGGUAUCUAAGGCUUGUGCCUCAACAAGCUUGCUGAAGCGAAGUUACCAUGAAAAACCUCCAUAGAAAAUAUUAGAGGGCAUAUAAUCAUUGAGCCCCAACAAUAUUUGUCCAACCAGAAUGCAUAAAAUGUGUCAUCAACCAGGAUCAAACAUGUUGAAGUAUAAAGCAACAACUGUUCAGCAGAAAAUAGUAACAUCUACUAAUUAAAUUAUUCACAAUAUUUUUAACUGUUUGAUUCAGUGUGAU